AAAGUCGUAACAAGGUUUCCGUAGGUGAACCUGCGGAAGGAUCAUUAAUGAAUAACUAUGGCAUUGGUUGUAGCUGGCUCCUAGGAGCAUUGUGCACACCUGUCAUUCUUAUACCUCCACCUGUGCACUUAAUGUAGGCCUGGAGUACUCUCGCUCUAGGGCGGAUGCAAGGAUUGCCAUAUCAAAAGAUUUGGCUCUCUUUGAAUUCCCAGGUCUAUGUAUUUUUUCUAUACACCCCAAUUGUAUAAUAAAGAAUGUAGUCAAUGGGCGUUCAUGCCUAUAAAACAAGUACAACUUUCAGCAACGGAUCUCUUGGCUCUC
Molecule: unclassified non-coding RNA, 321 nt
Filed under: Basidiomycota sp.
Lineage: Eukaryota; Fungi; Basidiomycota
Description: partial contains small subunit ribosomal RNA, internal transcribed spacer 1, and 5.8S ribosomal RNA
Rfam family: Eukaryotic small subunit ribosomal RNA (bases 1-47)
Source: RNAcentral